GCAAACUUGGUCAUUUAGAGGAAGUAAAAGUCGUAACAAGGUUUCCGUAGGUGAACCUGCGGAAGGAUCAUUACUGAGUGCGGACCCCUCGCGGGUCCAACCUCCCACCCGUGUCUCUUGAAUACCCUGUUGCUUUGGCGGGCCCACCGGGUCGCCCCGGUCGCCGGGGGGCACUGCGCCCCCGGGCCCGCGCCCGCCAGAGCGCCCUAUGAACCCUCAUGAAGAUGGACUGUCUGAGUGUGAUUUGAAUUAUCAAAACUUUCAACAAUGGAUCUCUUGGUUCCGGCAUCGAUGAAGAACGCAGC
Molecule: unclassified non-coding RNA, 305 nt
Filed under: uncultured fungus
Lineage: Eukaryota; Fungi
Description: partial contains small subunit ribosomal RNA, internal transcribed spacer 1, and 5.8S ribosomal RNA
Rfam family: Eukaryotic small subunit ribosomal RNA (bases 1-73)
Source: RNAcentral